GAUGAACGCUGGCGGCGUGCCUAAUACAUGCAAGUCGAGCGAACGGACGAGAAGCUCGCGUCUUUGAUGUUAGCGGCGGACGGGCGAGUAACACGUGGAUAACCUACCUAUAAGUCUGGGAUAACUUCGGGAAACCGGUGCUAAUACUGGAUAAUAUUUUGAACCGCAUGGUUCAAAAGUGAAAGACGGUUUUGCCGUCACUUAUAGAUGGAUCCGCGCUGCAUUAGCUAGUUGGUAAGGUAACGGCCUACCAAGGCAACGAUGCGUAGCCGACCUGAGAGGGUGAUCGGCCACACUGGAACUGAGACACGGUCCAGACUCCUACGGGAGGCAGCAGUGGGGAAUAUUCGGCAAUGGGCGAAAGCCUGACGGAGCAACGCCGCGUGAGUGAUGAAGGUCUUCGGAUCGUAAAGCUCUGUUAUUAGGAAAGAACAGAUGUGUGUGUAACUGUGCACGUCUUGACGGUACCUAAACAGAAAGCCACGGCUAACUACGUG
RNAcentral lists this ribosomal RNA (497 nucleotides) under uncultured bacterium. Its description in RNAcentral is "partial 16S ribosomal RNA". It matches the Rfam family "Bacterial small subunit ribosomal RNA", at positions 28 to 507 of the family's 1533-position model. The record is from RNAcentral.